GGUCAAGUUACUAAGGGCACACAGGGGAUGCCUUGGCGCAGGUAGGCGAUGAAGGACGUGGCAAGCUGCGAUAAGCUCCGAGGAGCCGCUAAGCGGGCUUUGAUCCGGAGAUUUCCGAAUGGGGAAACCCACCAUGGUGAAGCCAUGGUAUCCUCACCUGAAUCCAUAGGGUGAGGAGGCGAACC
This 185-nucleotide ribosomal RNA is filed under the name Sedimentisphaerales bacterium. Its description in RNAcentral is "partial 23S ribosomal RNA". It matches the Rfam family "Bacterial large subunit ribosomal RNA", at positions 1 to 185 of the family's 2925-position model. Lineage: Bacteria; Pseudomonadati; Planctomycetota; Phycisphaerae; Sedimentisphaerales. The record is from RNAcentral.